UUAGGGUUUGGAUUAGGGUUUGGUUAGAGUUUUAUUUAAGGUUUGAUUUAGGGUUUAGGAUUUGGAUUAGGGUUUUGAUUAGGAUUUGGAUUAGGAUUUGGUUAGGGUUUGAUUUAGGGUUUGGAUUAGAGUUUGGACUAGGAUUUGGUUAGGAUUUGAUUUAUGGUUUGGUUUAGGGUUUAGGAUUUGGAUUAGAGUUUAGGGUUGGAUUAGGAUUUGGAUUAGGGUUUAGAUUUUGGUUAGGGUUUGAUUUAGGGUUUGGAUUAGGGUUUGGUUAAGAUUUUAUUUAAGGUUUGGUUUAGGAUUUAGGAUUGGAUUAGGGUUCGGUUUAGGAUUUGAUUUAGAGUCGGUUUAAGGUUUAGGGUUUGGAAUAGGGUUUAAUUUAAGAUUUGUUUAGGAUUUGACUUAAGAUUUAGGAAUUAUUAGGAUUUAAGAUUUAAUUAGGUUUGGUCUAAAGUUGAGUGAAAUUUAAUAGGGUUUUAACUAGAAUUAAAUUAAGGUUGAAUUGACAUAUAUUUGAGUAAAAUUUGUGAUCAUUCUAAUAUUUCUUUAAGAAUUUUAUUGUUUGUUUGAAAUUUCUUUGAGUUGUUUUGAAUUUGAUUACAUUUGUUUACCAUUAUUAUAGUCUAAUUAGAGCAUUGUUAGUAUUCUAUUUAGGAUUUUGUUAUCGCAAUUUCUAUUCUUCCUUCUACAGCCAG
RNAcentral lists this long non-coding RNA (698 nucleotides) under Physcomitrium patens. RNAcentral's name for it is "long non-coding RNA (PPAT_LNC008033)". Lineage: Eukaryota; Viridiplantae; Streptophyta; Bryopsida; Funariales; Funariaceae. The record is from RNAcentral.